RNAcentral lists this ribosomal RNA (408 nucleotides) under uncultured bacterium. RNAcentral describes it as "partial 16S ribosomal RNA". It matches the Rfam family "Bacterial small subunit ribosomal RNA", at positions 29 to 526 of the family's 1533-position model. The record is from RNAcentral.
AGUGAACGCUGGCGGCGUGCCUAAUACAUGCAAGUCGAACGGAGUGGCGCACGGGUGAGUAAUAUAUAGCUAAUCUGCCCAUUGCUGGAGGACAACAGUUAGAAAUGACUGCUAAUACUCCAUAGCAAGGGAUGAGAAUAAAUCGUAUCAGCUAGUCGGUGGGGUACCGACCUACCGAGGCUAUGACGCGUAACUGGUCUGACAGGAUGAUCAGUCACAUUGGACGUGAGACACGGUCCAAACUCCUACGGGAGGCAGCAGUAGGGAAUAAUGCGCAAUGGGGGAAACCCUGACGCAGCAACGCCGCGUGGAGGAUGACACUUGUGGGAGCGUAAACUCCUUUUGUUAGGGUAGCGGUACCUAACGAAUAAGCACCGGCUAACUCCGUGCCAGCAGCCGCGGUAAUUC